CAGAUCGCAGUCGGCUUUAUGUCGGCGACGGGUCCUUCAAAUGUCUGCCCUAUCAUCUUUCUAUGGUAGGUGACCUGCCUACCAUGGUGAUAACGGGUAACGGGGAAUCAGGGUUCGAUUCCGGAUAGGGAGCCUGAGAAACGGCUACCACUUCCAAGGGAGGCAGCAGGCGCGCAAAUUACCCACUCCCGGUACGGGGAGGUGGUGACGAAAAAUACCGAUGCGGGACUCAUCAACGAGGCUCCGUAAUCGGAAUGAGUGGACUCUAAAUCCUUUCACGAGGAUCAAUUGGAGGGCAAGUCUGGUGCCAGCAGCCGCGGUAACUCCAGCUCCAAUAGCGUAUAUUAAAGUUGCUGCAGUUAAAAAGCUCGUAGUUGGAUCUCGGUAGCAUUGUUGCCUGCUUAGUUGUCAUGCUCUACGGCGUGCAUCAUAUCGUGUGUGCUUGUAUUACCUUUGUUCGUAAGAGCUUGGGUGUAUGAGUGCCACGGUGGGUGUACAUUAAAACCCUAGUGCAUUGAGCUGGCAUGGCGAUGGUGUCACCUUUGAGCCAUGUCUGUGGUGUAACAGCCACAGGUGUAAUCGAGUGUCGGGCAGUGCUCUGCACUUGUUGUGGAGCCUAGUCGGCUCGUUUACAUGCCAAUGAAUGCCCUUCAAAGGUGUUCAUGGGCGGAUGGCACGUUUACUUUGAACAAAUUUGAGUGCUCAAUCAGGCCGAUGUUGCCUGAAAACUUUUGCAUGGAAUAAUGGAAUAGGACUUCGGUUCUAUUUCGUUGGUUUUCGGAUCCGAAGUAAUGAUCAAAAGAGACAGGCGGGGACGUUUGUAUGGCUGCGCUAGAGGUGAAAUUCAUGGACCGUAGCCAGACAAACUAAAGCGAAAGCAUUCGUCAAGCAUGUUUUCAUUGGCCAUGAGCGAAAGUCAGAGGCUCGAAGACGAUCAGAUACCGUCCUAGUUCUGACCAUAAACGAUGCCAACUGACGAUCCGUGGCGGUAGUCUUCAAACCUUCCCCACGGGCAGUCCCCGGGAAACCUUUAGUCUUUGGGUUCCGGGGGAAGUAUGGUUGCAAAGCUGAAACUUAAAGGAAUUGACGGAAGGGCACCACCAGGAGUGGAGCCUGCGGCUUAAUUUGACUCAACACGGGAAAACUCACCCGGGCCGGACACUAUGAGGAUUGACAGAUUGAUAGCUCUUUCUUCGAUUUGGUGGUUGGUGGUGCAUGGCCGUUCUUAGUUGGUGGAGCGAUUUGUCUGGUUAAUUCCGAUAACGAACGAGACUCCAGCCUGCUAAUUAGUGCAUUUGUCCACUGCACCAGCCGAGCGGCGCAGUGUCAACUGCUUGGGUUCAGUGUGGGAUUCAGUGCGUUUGUGCAGUCUACAUAGGUGAGGCUGUUCUGCAGUUUCACUUGUGUAUGGCUGUACGGCGUAUUUGGCCCGCAUGAUGUACUCGGGUGGAUGGCACCACGUUAGCUAGCAUCUACGGCGUGAAUGAUUAAUUCUUAGAGGGACACGUGGGAGAAGCCGCACGAAAUAGAGCAAUAACAGGUGUGUGAUGCCCUUAGAUGUCCGCGGCCGCACGCUCGUUACAAAGGCGGUGUCAACGAGUUAGACCUUCUGGCCUGAAAAGGUUGGGUAAACUGGUCAAUCACCGUCAUGACAGGGAUCGGGGCUUGGAAUUGUUCCCCGUGAACGAGGAAUUCCUAGUAAGUGCAAGUCAUAAGCUUGCGCUGAUUACGUCCCUGCCCUUUGUACACACCGCCCGUCGCUACUACCGAUUGAAUGGUUUAGUAAGGUCCUUGGAUUGG
Molecule: ribosomal RNA, 1800 nt
Filed under: Hymenolepis diminuta
Lineage: Eukaryota; Metazoa; Platyhelminthes; Cestoda; Cyclophyllidea; Hymenolepididae
Description: SSU rRNA
Rfam family: Eukaryotic small subunit ribosomal RNA
Source: RNAcentral